AGAGUUUUGAUCAUGGCUCAGAACGAAACGCUGGCGGCGUGCCUAACACAUGCAAGUCGAGCGAGAAAGCCCGCAAGGGUGAGUAAAGCGGCGCACGGGUGCGUAACACGUGGGUAAUCUGCCCUGGAGUCCGGAAUAACUCGCCGAAAGGCGUGCUAAUGCCGGAUAAGACCACGGGAGCCUCGGCUCCUGCGGAAAAAGAUGGCCUCUGUACACAAGCUAUCUCUUCAGGAUGAGCCCGCGGCCCAUCAGCUAGUUGGCGGGGUAAUGGCCCACCAAGGCAACGACGGGUAGCUGGUCUGAGAGGACGAUCAGCCACACUGGAACUGAGACACGGUCCAGACUCCUACGGGAGGCAGCAGUGGGGAAUCUUGCGCAAUGGGCGAAAGCCUGACGCAGCAACGCCGCGUGUGUGAUGAAGGUCUUCGGAUCGUAAAGCACUGUCGCGAGGGACGAAUAAGGGCUGGGUGAACAAUCCAGUCCGAUGACGGUACCUCGAGAGGAAGCACCGGCUAACUCUGUGCCAGCAGCCGCGGUAAUACAGAGGGUGCGAGCGUUGUUCGGAAUUAUUGGGCGUAAAGCGCGUGUAGGCGGCUUUGUAAGUCAGGUGUGAAAGCCCUCGGCUUAACCGAGGAAGUGCGCCUGAAACUGCAGAGCUUGAGUACCGGAGAGGGUGGUGGAAUUCCCGGUGUAGAGGUGAAAUUCGUAGAUAUCGGGAGGAACACCAGCGGCGAAGGCGACCACCUGGACGGCUACUGACGCUGAGACGCGAAAGCGUGGGGAGCAAACAGGAUUAGAUACCCUGGUAGUCCACGCUGUAAACGAUGAGCGCUAGGUGUUGUGGGUGUUGACCCCCGCAGUGCCGCAGCUAACGCAUUAAGCGCUCCGCCUGGGAAGUACGGCCGCAAGGCUAAAACUCAAAGGAAUUGACGG
This 933-nucleotide ribosomal RNA is filed under the name uncultured bacterium. Its description in RNAcentral is "bacterial SSU rRNA". It matches the Rfam family "Bacterial small subunit ribosomal RNA", at positions 8 to 916 of the family's 1533-position model. The record is from RNAcentral.